Molecule: ribosomal RNA, 253 nt
Filed under: uncultured bacterium
Lineage: Bacteria
Description: partial 16S ribosomal RNA
Rfam family: Bacterial small subunit ribosomal RNA
Source: RNAcentral
GACGUAGGGCGCGAGCGUUGUCCGGAUUUAUUGGGCGUAAAGAGCUCGUAGGCGGCUCGUUGCGUCGGCUGUGAAAACCCGCAGCUCAACUGUGGGCUUGCAGCUGAUACGGGCGGGCUGGGAUUCGGUAGGGGAGACUGGAAUUCCUGGUGUAGCGGUGAAAUGCGCAGAUAUCAGGAGGAACACCGGUGGCGAAGGCGGGCCUCUGGGCCGAUAUCGACGCUGAGGAGCGAAAGCGUGGGGAGCGAACAGG